This is a long non-coding RNA of Trematomus bernacchii (emerald rockcod), 558 nucleotides long. RefSeq lists it as uncharacterized. NCBI's taxonomy places the organism in Eukaryota, Metazoa, Chordata, Actinopteri, Perciformes, Nototheniidae. The transcript is spliced from 3 exons. The record is from RefSeq and is a predicted model, not a curated record.
UGAAAGUGCAGUCGGAUUCUCAAAGCACCGCAGUCUCUUCUCCUAAAUCCUUUUGAAUUCUGCUAUCCACUAUUCCUUAACCCUGCGACGUUUCACACAGAAGUCAAGGGAUAGACGAUAGGAGCUGAUUUUUGGACUAUUCGACUGCAACCUGACAGUCGAUGAGUUCCUAAAUACUUGUAAGAGUGAGCUAAAGCUUCCCAUCGGCCGCCUGAAUAAGGAAUUUCUGAUGGCCUGAGCUAAAGGUCAGCAGUGCUGAAGAAAUGCUGCAGUACGGAGAAACCAGGGCAGCAGAGUCUGUGUGGAUGAGAGAGAGAUAAGGACUGGAGGAAGUGGAGAGGACAAGGAGCAAGUGAGCAUUCUGCAUCACUGUGUGCUAGUGGCAUCAGAACCAGGAAGAACUGGGAGCUUAGUGUGAGUCUGUUACUAAGAGAAGGAUGCUAGCUGAGGUGGAGGGAUCUUGAAUCACCCUGAAAGUGUUUCUUUCUUCACUCAUCGGCUUGCUGCACAUUAUCCCACUUAUUACAUGGGACGGAGCUGCCAUCCAUGGAGGACCUU